This is a long non-coding RNA of Mauremys reevesii (Reeves's turtle), 505 nucleotides long. RefSeq lists it as uncharacterized. The transcript is spliced from 5 exons. NCBI's taxonomy places the organism in Eukaryota, Metazoa, Chordata, Testudines, Geoemydidae. The record is from RefSeq and is a predicted model, not a curated record.
GCAGCAGUACAGAAAAAGGAAUCCCCAGCAGGCCAAUGUGGAAAUGGGUGCCACCUAGAACUGGGGUACCACUGAGACCCGCUGACCCACCAGCCUGGGCUCCCUUUACAUUGUACUGCUGUGACCAGCCUGCAUUUUCACCAGCACAGAUAUAGAGGAACUUUGCUACAAAUUGAAGCUCUGAACAAUGGACUGAAUGACCCAUCCAAGCUGUGAAUGUACUCCAGAGACUUGACUUAAGCAAGCAGUUUAUUCCAUCACUGCUACAAGCCUGAGCAAAAAACUUUGCCAUUACGGGACAUUCAAAUGAAAUCAGGACUGCCCCUUAGAAAUUCAUUUGCUUCUGCUGUUCAUUCUUGUAGUCAAGUCUGGUAUCGCAGGCCCCUAUGGACUGGAGGCAAAGGACUGUAAGAACUCAGUAAGUGAAGCUGACUUAAUGGAUUCUGUUUUAUUUCUGCAAUCCUCAAAGCCCGCAAGAUAGCAGGUGCAAACUUGGAAUAAUGAG